Oryctolagus cuniculus (rabbit) is the source of this 302-nucleotide non-coding RNA. NCBI's taxonomy places the organism in Eukaryota, Metazoa, Chordata, Mammalia, Lagomorpha, Leporidae. The record is from RefSeq and is a predicted model, not a curated record.
GUUGUCGGCAACCAGCGGUCAGUAGUGCAUCUACUGCCCAACUGACCAGAUGUUGGUAGCGUAGGCAGGAGGCACUUUUGCUAGAAUCCAAUGGAUUCGCGAUGGAGAUUGGAUAUGGACGCCCUGAGGUCCGGCAGGGCCCAGGAGCGAGCAGGGAUCAUCUUGAAAUAUGAGCAGGGUCCCCGUAAAGGGCCCCAGUUUCACCUGGGAGAAGAGGACAACGAGAGUGGAGCCCUUGUCCCAGACAAACUUGGCUUCCUGCGUAAGCAGAAGCCGCCCAGGCAUGGAUGCCUGGCAGUGAG